RNAcentral lists this long non-coding RNA (238 nucleotides) under Brassica rapa (field mustard). RNAcentral's name for it is "long non-coding RNA (BRAP_LNC003372)". The record is from RNAcentral. Lineage: Eukaryota; Viridiplantae; Streptophyta; Magnoliopsida; Brassicales; Brassicaceae.
UGUAUCCAUGUGUAUGACGAACGACGGUUGUAUCCUAGCACUGCGUGCCAAGCGAUCCGCCAUUUUAUUGUCCGUCCUCGAUACAUGAAUAACUUCUGAAUUGGUGAAGCUUCUUCUCAAAAGUAUGAUAUCCUCCAGGUAACUCCCAAAUGCUGGCCAUUCCUCUGGUUCCGAAACCAUCUUCACCAGUUGAGAACAAUCCGUUGCGAACGUAACCUGAAACUGUCUUAAAUUUUUC